Astyanax mexicanus (Mexican tetra) is the source of this 881-nucleotide long non-coding RNA. RefSeq lists it as uncharacterized. The record is from RefSeq and is a predicted model, not a curated record. NCBI's taxonomy places the organism in Eukaryota, Metazoa, Chordata, Actinopteri, Characiformes, Acestrorhamphidae. The transcript is spliced from 3 exons.
AGCCGUGUGGAUAGAGAGCUCACGCCCGCUGAAGAAGCCCGGCUGGGAGAGCUGAGCUGCUGCUGCUGCUGCUUCUGGAGCAGCGGGGAUGAGAGGACAGAAGACAGGAGGGGUACCACUGGGCGGGGCAACCUGUAAAGGAUGGACGCCAACAACCAAUCAUAUUGCACGGGGGCGGAGUUUGCCCGAACACAGCUGAACUCUUCUACUCCACCGGCUUCGGUUUCUGUGGUAGAAACCACAUAUCAGCAGAAGAAGCCUUGAAUGGAGGAAUCUCUGGAGAUUCGAGGGCGGAGGUGGUGAGGCUCAACAACAGAGAGUCAGCAACUCAUUACUGCAGAAAUGCAGCACCCAGAGCAGCCGAAUCAAGACAUCACACAGCUCCUCAGCAGCUCCAGCAAUCAAUUAUUUAUCACAUUGGACCUCAGCAUUAAGAGCAAAGUCUCUCUUCUCUCACGAGUAUGAAUUAUCUUUCGGGUUCCGGUAUGUAGAGAAUGCGUCUAUACAAUGCAGUCAUGAUAGUCAAAAAGAGCGUGAUAUCAUUUAAAAUAGUCUAUACCCACUUUUUAAGGUAUACAUACAGUGGUGCAUAAACGUUUGUGCAUAAAUAGGACCUAAAACAUCAGCAAAUUUCCUAUUAGUAAAUUUAAAAAAAAUUACAUUUAUUUAUUGAGGACAAUAAUCCCAUAUUACAUAUUUGUGAGUGGCAAACAUACAGCUCUGGAAAAAAAAAAGAGAUUGAAAACUUUUAGAAAAUAAUCAAGAGAAAGAUCAAUGAUCACAAGCCAUCAAACCAAACUGAACUGCUUGAAUGUUUGCACCAGGAGUAAAGCAGCAUAAAGUUAUCCAAAAGCAGUGUGUAAGACUGGUGGAGGAGAACA